AGUGAACGGCUGGGCGGCAGGCCUAAUACAUGCAAGUCGAACGGCAGCACAGCAGAGCUUGCUCUGUGGGUGGCGAGUGGCGGACGGGUGAGGAAUACAUGGGAAUCUGCCCAGUCGUGGGGGAUAACGUAGGGAAACUUACGCUAAUACCGCAUGCGCCCUUCGGGGGAAAGCCGGGGACCUUCGGGCCUGGCGCGAUUGGAUGAGCCCAUGUCGGAUUAGCUAGUUGGCGGGGUAAUGGCCCACCAAGGCGACGAUCCGUAGCUGGUCUGAGAGGAUGAUCAGCCACACUGGAACUGAGACACGGUCCAGACUCCUACGGGAGGCAGCAGUAGGGAAUAUUGGACAAUGGGCGCAAGCCUGAUCCAGCCAUGCCGCGUGAGUGAAGAAGGCCCUCGGGUUGUAAAGCUCUUUUGUCCGGAAAGAAAAGCGCCGGGUUAAUACCCUAGUGUCCUGACGGUACCGGAAGAAUAAGCACCGGCUAACUUCGUG
Molecule: ribosomal RNA, 492 nt
Filed under: uncultured bacterium
Lineage: Bacteria
Description: bacterial SSU rRNA
Rfam family: Bacterial small subunit ribosomal RNA
Source: RNAcentral